AAGGAUCAUUAAAGAGUAAGGGUGCUCAGCGCCCGACCUCCAACCCUUUGUUGUUAAAACUACCUUGUUGCUUUGGCGGGACCGCUCGGUCUCGAGCCGCUGGGGAUUCGUCCCAGGCGAGCGCCCGCCAGAGUUAAACCAAACUCUUGUUAUUAAACCGGUCGUCUGAGUUAAAAUUUUGAAUAAAUCAAAACUUUCAACAACGGAUCUCUUGGUUCUCGCAUCGAUGAAGAACGCAGCGAAAUGCGAUAAGUAAUGUGAAUUGCAGAAUUCAGUGAAUCAUCGAAUCUUUGAACGCACAUUGCGCCCCUUGGUAUUCCGAGGGGCAUGCCUGUUCGAGCGUCAUUACACCACUCAAGCUAUGCUUGGUAUUGGGUGCCGUCCUUAGUUGGGCGCGCCUUAAAGACCUCGGCGAGGCCUCACCGGCUUUAGGCGUAGUAGAAUUUAUUCGAACGUCUGUCAAAGGAGAGGACUUCUGCCGACUGAAACCUUUUAUUUUUCUAGGUUGACCUCGGAUCAGGUAGG
RNAcentral lists this ribosomal RNA (525 nucleotides) under Aureobasidium pullulans. RNAcentral's name for it is "eukaryotic LSU rRNA". The stretch from base 192 to 345 matches the Rfam family "5.8S ribosomal RNA". The record is from RNAcentral. Lineage: Eukaryota; Fungi; Ascomycota; Dothideomycetes; Dothideales; Saccotheciaceae.